GUGGGGAAUCUUCCGCAAUGGACGAAAGUCUGACGGAGCAACGCCGCGUGAGUGAAGAAGGUUUUCGGAUCGUAAAGCUCUUUCGUUAGGGACGAACGUGCUCUUUGUGAAUAAUGAGGAGUAAUGACGGUACCUAAAUAAGAAGCCACGGCUAACUACGUGCCAGCAGCCGCGGUAAUACGUAGGUGGCAAGCGUUGUCCGGAAUUAUUGGGCGUAAAGCGCGCGCAGGCGGGAUAUCAAGUCUGUCUUAAAAGUGCGGGGCACAACCUCGUGAGGGGACAGAAACUGGUAUUCUUGAGUGUCGGAGAGGAAAGUGGAAUUCCAAGUGUAGCGGUGAAAUGCGUAGAGAUUUGGAAGAACACCAGUGGCGAAGGCGACUUUCUGGACGAUGUCUGACGCUGAGGCGCGAAAGCUAGGGGAGCGAACGGGAUUAGAAACCCUAGUAGUCC
RNAcentral lists this ribosomal RNA (450 nucleotides) under uncultured bacterium. Its description in RNAcentral is "partial 16S ribosomal RNA". It matches the Rfam family "Bacterial small subunit ribosomal RNA", at positions 354 to 796 of the family's 1533-position model. The record is from RNAcentral.